GACGAACGCUGGCGGCGUGCCUAAUACAUGCAAGUUGAGCGAUGAAGAUUGGUGCUUGCACCAAUUUGAAGAGCAGCGAACGGGUGAGUAACGCGUGGGGAAUCUGCCUUUGAGCGGGGGACAACAUUUGGAAACGAAUGCUAAUACCGCAUAACAACUUUAAACAUAAGUUUUAAGUUUGAAAGAUGCAAUUGCAUCACUCAAAGAUGAUCCCGCGUUGUACUAGCUAGUUGGUGAGGUAAAGGCUCACCAAGGCGAUGAUACAUAGCCGACCUGAGAGGGUGAUCGGCCACAUUGGGACUGAGACACGGCCCAAACUCCUACGGGAGGCAGCAGUAGGGAAUCUUCGGCAAUGGACGAAAGUCUGACCGAGCAACGCCGCAUGAGUGAAGAAGGUUUUCGGAUCGUAAAACUCUGUUGGUAGAGAAGAACGUUGGUGAGAGUGGAAAGCUCAUCAAGUGACGGUAACUACCCAGAAAGGGACGGCUAACUACGUG
Molecule: ribosomal RNA, 497 nt
Filed under: uncultured bacterium
Lineage: Bacteria
Description: partial 16S ribosomal RNA
Rfam family: Bacterial small subunit ribosomal RNA
Source: RNAcentral